RNAcentral lists this ribosomal RNA (641 nucleotides) under uncultured bacterium. RNAcentral's name for it is "partial 16S ribosomal RNA". The record is from RNAcentral.
ACGGUUACCUUGUUACGACUUCACCCCAGUCGCCAAUCCUACCUUCGGCAGCGCCCCCCUUGCGGUUAAGCUACUGACUUCGGGUAUUACCGGCUCCCAUGGUGUGACGGGCGGUGUGUACAAGGCCCGGGAACGUAUUCACCGCGGCAUGCUGAUCCGCGAUUACUAGCAAUUCCAACUUCACGCAGGCGGGUUGCAGCCUACGAUCCGAACUGAGACCAUUUUUGGGGUUUUGCUCCACCUCGCGGUAUUGCUUCCCUCUGUUAAUGGCCAUUGUAGUACGUGUGAGGCCCAGGUCAUAAGGGGCAUGAUGAUUUGACAUCAUCCCCACCUUCCUCCGUUUUGUCAACGGCGGUCCUGCUAGAGUGCUCUUGCGUAGCAACUAACAGUAAGGGUUGCGCUCGUUGCGGGACUUAACCCAACAUCUCACGACACGAGCUGACGACAACCAUGCACCACCUGUCACCUCUGCCCCGAAGGGAAGGUAUAUCUCUAUACCGGUCAGAGGGAUGUCAAGACCUGGUAAGGUUCUUCGCGUUGCUUCGAAUUAAUCCACAUACUCCACUGCUUGUGCGGGCCCCCGUCAAUUCCUUUGAGUUUCAGCCUUGCGGCCGUACUCCCCAGGUGGAUUACUUAUUGUG